Molecule: ribosomal RNA, 264 nt
Filed under: uncultured archaeon
Lineage: Archaea
Description: partial 16S ribosomal RNA
Rfam family: Archaeal small subunit ribosomal RNA
Source: RNAcentral
AGUCACUGACAUUAGAUACCCCGGUAGUCCAGGGUGUAAACGCUGCAGACUUGGUGUUGGAGGCCCUUUGGGGGCAUUCAGUGCCGGAGAGAAGUUGUUAAGUCUGCUACUUGGGAGUACGUCCGCAAGGAUGAAACUUAAAGGAAUUGGCGGGGGAGCACCGCAACGGGAGGAGCGUGCGGUUUAAUUGGAUUCAACACCGUAAAACUCACCAGGGAAGACUGUUACAUGAAGGCCGAGAUGAAGACUCUGCUAGAUUUUCAG